GGUUUUUGAUUUUCACUUGUUUGCAUGUUCAAGUUUAUUGUUGUUAUCACAGGUAUACAAUUCCAUGAAAAUUAACUUUUUUUACAGCAGCUCAGUACAUUGCAGGGUGAGGGCAGACAUAAAUUAACAUAAUUUUAAAUUAGCAUCAGACUUAUACAGUCGGUGGCCACUUUACCUGAUAUAGUGGCCACUGGGUGUAUGAUCGUGGUCCUCUGCUGCGGCAGCCCACCUAAUUCAAAGUGCUUGGUGACUGGCGUGUUCUGGGGUCGACACCGAGGAUCGGGGCCCAAGGGUCGAAUCAGAAAUCCAGAAGUCGAGGCCCAUUGGAUGGAGCCUGAACCUGCGAAUCACUGCAAGUGACCCAGAGGCCGAAAGUCAGGGUCUAAGUCCGCUGGAGGCUGAAGGCUGAAGACAGCCUGUCUGGGGAUUGGAGGGCCGUGCCUGUGCGUGGGUGGGAGGGAGGAAUGGGGCUUGUUUUCCUGUUGUUGUUUUGUUGCUUGUUAUGGUUUGUGUUCUGUGCUGAGCAUUGUCGGCAUGCUAUGUUGGCGCUGGAACGUGCGGUGACACUUGCGGACUCCCCCAGCACACCCUCAGGUGUGUUGGUUGUUGACGCAAAUGAUUCAUUUCACUGUGUACUUCAAUGUACACGUGGCAAAUAAAUUUGGAUCUUGAAUCUUGAACCUAAUAUUUGAGGUCCAACACCCUGGCGUGCUGACUUGAUUGUCUCCAUCUUUUUCGUAUUGACAUAUUGAGUUGAAUGACCACAGUAUUUUGCCCCUAGUGUGUAGGAGAUUGGUAAGGUUUUGGGAGACUGUGUUGAAAAUAUGAGGGCAAAAUAGGAUUAGUGUGAUUGGUGCUUGAUGGUCAGCAUGGAUUCAAGGGGCCAAAAGGCCUUUCAGCCUGAAAAGUUACCUCCAUUCUACAGACCAUGCCUGAGAUACAUUACCUCUUUAGGUAUCAGAUUUCACGCAUUCUGCAGUACUCUGCUUUUCAAUCAUUUAAGACCGCUGAUGCUCCUGCAAGUUUGUAUUGAGAGCACUUAAACUGGCCAUAAACUUGGAUUUUCUUUCUAAUGACUCUCAGCGAGCAGAGGGAAUUCUGUUCAUCAGUUUUACCGACACAGAUUGAUAAGCGCCCGAAUCUCCUUUAUUUAUUUAAAUUCAGCCUUCCUCAGAUUAAUUCAUUCAAAUAAUCUCAUCGGAUACUAAAUUAUCAGAACAGGAAACAUAUACAGCCAUAUGCCAUAUACAAUAUGUUCUGUAUCAUUGGAACAAAUUCAAGGAUAAUAUUGAUCACUUUAUUGCAACUGUAGCAAAAAGAAACUUCUAACGUCAAUUCCAAACUUAACCGCUACUAAUUUGAAUUAAUGUCCUUUGUUCUUCCCCGUUAUUUAAAAUUAACAUUUUCAGCUAAUGAAUGCCUGUAAUGUGCUCUUCAGGGCUGGACAGCAUUGGGCUCCAAAGUUUUUAGAGCACCCAAACUGGUUAAUUGUUGUUUAAUGAGAGUCUAUAAUUGUUUAGAAUUCCUUGUGCUUAUCUCAAGCAACUCACUCCUGGUAAUGCAGUAUCCUGGUGCUUUCUGUUUAAGCUUAAGUUUGUUCCAAUAUGCUCAGGGAUUCUGUAUUACUUGUAUUAUUUAAGUGGAUGCUGAUUAGCACUAAUCACGGGCUCCUAGUUUUGAGAAUGACUGCACUUUGUGACUACACCUCUUCAUAACUACAGAGUCUCUUAGAAAAUUUGUUUGAGGACACGCCUGUUCAGAUUGCUGUUACUCAGCCCCUGUGUUGGUGCGUGACCAAGUGGUUAAGGCGUUCGUCUAGUGAUCUGAAGGUAGUUAGUUCAAGCCUUGGCUGAGGCUGUGUGUGUGUCCUUGAGCAAGGCACUUAACCGCACACUUGUCUGCGACGACCCGUGCCAAGCUGUAACCUAGUGCCCUUCCCUUGGACAACAUCCAUGGCAUGGAGAGGGGAGACUUGCAGCUUGGGCAACUGGCGGUCUUCCAUUAAAAAAAAACCUUGCCCAGGCUUGCGCCCUGGAAACUUUCCAAGGUGCAAAUCCAUGGUCUAUCGAGACUAAGUUUAAUGCUGAGAAGUGUGAGGUUCUACAUUUUGGCAGGAAUAAUCCAAAUAGAACAUACAGAGUAAAUGGUAGGGCAUUGAGGAAUGCAGAGGAACAGAGAGAUCUAGGAAUAACUGUGCAUAGUUCCCUGAAAGUGGAGUCUCAUGUAGAUAGGGUGGUGAAGAGGGCUUUUGGAAUGCUGGCCUUUAUAAAUCAAAGCAUUGAGUACAGAAGUUGGGAUGUAAUGCUAAAGUUGUACAAGGCAUUGGUAAGGCCAAAUUUGGAAUAUUGUGUGCAGUUCUGGUCACCGAAUUAUAGGAAAGAUAUCAAUAAAUUAGAGAGAGUGCAGAGACGAUUUACUAGGAUCUUACCUGGGUUUCAGCAAUUAAGUUACAGAGAAAGGUUGAACAAGUUAGGUCUCUAUUCAUUGGAGCGUAGAAGGUUGAGGGGGGAUUUGAUCGAGGUAUUUAAAAUUUUGAGAGGGAUAGAUAGAGUUGAUGUGAACAGCUGUUUCCAUUGAGAGUAGGGGAGAUUCAAACUAGAGGACAUGAUUUGAGAGUUAGGGGGCAGAAGUUUAAGGGAAACUCGAGGGGGUAUUUCUUUACUCAAAGAGUGAUAGCUGUGUGGAAUGAGCUUCCUGUAGAAGUAGUAGAGGCCAGUUCAGUUGUGUCAUUUAAGGUAAAAUUGGAUAGGUAUAUGGACAGGAAAGGAGUGGAGGGUUAUGGGCUGAGUGCGGGUAGGUGGGACUAGGUGAGAUUAAGGGUUCGGCACGGACUAGGAGGGCCAAGAUGGCCUGUUUCCGUGCUGUGAUUGUUAUAUGGUUAUAUGGUUAAUGGAUGCCUACGUACUCAGCCCCUGCCUCUGUGCUGCAUCUGGCAUCUGACCAUCUCCUUUCCUGAGAGCACAGUAGAGGAGCUUGGUGAUCCCGGACUAAACUCAGCUGGGACUGUUCACUUUGAUCAAUAUUUGUACUAAUAAUUAACACUGACUUCUACUGUAUAAAUCAUGUGCGUUAGCUUCUUCAGUGCACUACUUGAGAAUACCCAGUGUUGAGUCUACUAGAGCCAACCCACUCAGUGUUUCUCCUCAACCUCUCAUUAGAGCUCUAACCUGGCUCUGCUGUUCUCUAAUAUUAAUCCCAAAUUAUCCAAGAAUUGAAAACCACCCCCCCCCCCUUUUGAUUUUAAUCUAGCUUUAGGUAGAACUUGAUCAAAUGCCAUUUGAAAAUUUAAGUAGAUAUUGGCUCAGGGUUUAUGUUGACAACCAUUCAGAAAAAAAUUAGAGCAGCCAUUUUAGGCAGAAUGACUGCUUGACUUGGGAAAAAUGCAAUUUAACUCUGUAGGUUGGUCUUGUGACCUUUUAUUUUGCUUGUAUUUAUCUACACCCCAAAUUUUGUCCUAACUCUCUUUAUGAGGGGGCCUUUCAGUCACGCUGAGUUGUGAAUCUUCCUCUCUUAGCAUCUUCUGAUGUUCUUUCUGCCCCUCAAAGUCCAACCCUAGAUCCCCAUCGUGAGAGGUGGAAAUGGGUCAGUCUGGCCAAGAGGCUGUAUAGGCCAAUCUCCUCUACAGUGGAUUACAGAAACAUUGAUGAAUUCCAAGCAUACCAUCAACUUCGUGGUGGAGAUGGGAGGCCAUUGAUGGCCUAAGCUUCACCAGGAGCUAAGGGCCUAAGAAGAAGAUGUUCUCUCUGAUAUUGCCCCCUUUUUACAUGUUAGAGCAAUUCUAAUGUGUUUCCAUGUAAUCUCAGAGAUCCUUUAUACCCUUCUCCCUGCAGAAUUUGUAAACAGCAUUCGUUGAGAUUGCUUGGAGUCCUUUUUGUUCAAAAUUUGUUCAGUCUCUCAACACUUUGCAGUUUUUCGCCAGCAACAUUCCACUCAUAGAUGAACAAGCAAAGUAAUUACGUAUCUGGCAUUCUUGAAUCCAAUCUCAGCAAUCAUCAUUUGGUGAAAAUUCUUCAGGAAACAUGCAAAAUACUUUUUCUAAAGGAGGGGAUGUGCAGGAAACUCAUGAUUUGCAUUGGUACCUGCUCUUAAAAUGAUUGCAUUCUUCAAUCACAGGCCAUUUGAUCCAUCUAGACUCCACUGUCCUUUUGUGGAGCAAUUCUGUCAGAUCUAGUUCCCUUGUCUUUCCCCAAAGCACUGCAGUUUAAAUUAACUUUUAAAUUGCAUUAUGAAAACCCAGAUUGGCACUGUUUCUACUGUCCCUACUGAAACGAUCAGAAUGAUUCACCCUCAGGACUUCAAAUCCAGAGCAACACACACAAAAUAUUGGAGAAACUCAGCAGGUCAGGCAGCAUCCGUGGAGGGAAUAAACAGUCGAAGGUCUGGGCCAUUGUCUUUCAUCAGGGCUGGAAAAGAAGGGAGCAGAAUCCAGAAUAUGUGAUGAGGGUCCUUGACAAGGAUGGUUUAACACAAAUGCCAGAGUAUUGUAAGCAAGGAUUGAGACACAGUAUCAAACCAGACCAAGAAAUGAGCACAAAAUUAAUUAAGCGAUGAUAACACUAAAAGGGUUUACGAUUGAGCACUGAACCUCUAAGUACUCAAUUCCUCACGCCCUAAAUGUGAUUGCCAAUUAGUGGGACCAUCCUGAACCCUUAAAGGAGAUGUGCCAGCUAUCCGUACCUCGGAGAGUUGGAGCAUCUAAACCCUGGAGGCUGGUACAGUCGGGAGCGUCUUGUAACAGGACCCCCUCACCUACGGCUGACUCCUGACGGCCCUGGCUACUUGGAGAGAUAGUUAUGGUUGUCGUGGAUGAGAGUCAGAUCCAAGCUGUCUCUUUCAGGCACCCAGCACUUCUCUUUGGUUCUGAAUCCUUCCUAAUCCACAAGGCAUUGCUGAAUUUCCUGAACAGUAUGUGAGUCCAGAAGUCUUCUCACCGUGAAUGUCUGUUCCCCCUCGAUAAAUCUGUGUGGCAGCAGGGCUGACGGUAGUGGGUCUAAGUGGCUGGUGCAGGCAGUGUUUAAUUUAGCAAUGUAGAAGGUGGAAUCGAUCUUUAGGGUCUUGGGGAGCCGCAAGGUGUAAGCUUUCCUCAGCUUUGAGUGGUCCAAUGAACUUGUGUGCCAGCUUUCUAGAUUCCACCCAGAGAAGCAAAUCAUGAAUGGGCAGCCAGACCCAGGAGGUGGGUGCCCACGGUCUUUCUGGGACAGUUAGGGGGUGGAGGGUCUCUUCAGUUCGGGUACAGGGCUCCUUGCUCCGGGCGCACAACUCGCAUGCCUGGACGCACUGCCGGACCUCUUUCAUCAUGUCAGGACACCAAUACCUCCUCUUGAUAAACUCAAGAGUCCUGGCUACCCCAGGGUGAGCGCCCAUUCUCGACGAAUACCCCCAGUGGAGUUCCUGAGACCAGAUGGGACUUGGGAUGAACCUCCGACCCGGAGGAUCGUUCUCCGGAGUCUUCCUUUGCCCUUGGGCCUUGCAAACAAGAGUGUCAAUUCCCCAACAAAUUGACACUGUCACUCUGGCUUGAAGCAAAAUGGUGGUAGGCUGCUCGUCUAGUUCUGGUUCAUCAGACUGAUGGGACAAGGCUUCUGGUUCUUUGAACCCAGUUGGUAGGUCAGGUUGAAAUCAAAGCAGUUAAAGAACAAGGACCACCUGGCCUGUCUGGAAUUCAACCUCUUCACCUCCUGAAUAUAAGCCAGGAUCUUGUGGUCUGUCCAAAUGAUAAAAGGGUUCUCGGCCCCCUCUAGCUAGUGAUGCCAUUCUUCCAAAGCUAACUUAACCACAAGAAGCUCGCAAUUCCUGAUGUCACAGCUUCUCUCUGCCGGGAUAGGUGCCUGGAGAAGAAUGCACACGAGUACAGUUUACCAUCUGAGGAUGAGACAAGAUGGCAUCCACUCCGAUGUCUGAGACGUCCAUCUCCACAAUGAAGGGAAGGUCCGGGUUAGGAGAAGCCAGGCUGGGAGCUGCUGUGAACCACUGUUUAAGCUCUGCAAAUGAAGCUUCUGCUACAGUAGUCCAUACAAAAGGUCCCAUGGAUUUCUUCAUGCCCUCAGCAGAGCUGUCAGCGAGCCAAAGUUUCCACUCAUCACUCUCCUUUAUACGGACCAGAUUUUAUGCAAUCCGCAGAUCUAGCUUUGUGAAUACUCAUGCUCCUUGGAUCAUCUCAAAGGCUGAAUCCAUGAGUGGAAGGGGGCAACAACUCUUGGCCGUUAUGCAGUUUAACCCCUAUAAUCAAUGCAUGGCUGCAGGCUACCAUCUUUCUUUGGUAUGAAGAAGAAGCCUGCACAGACGGGUGAGGUGGAGGACCGGAUGAACUCAUGGCAAAAGUUUCCUUUAUAUACUCCUCCAUCGUGUUUCUUUCUGGGCCUGAGAGUGCAUAUAAUUGACUCUCUGGGGGACAAGUACCAGGCAUCAAGCCUAUAGCACAGUCAUAGAUUCAGUGCAGUGGAAGAGUCAAGGCCUUUCUCUUGUCAAAGAUCUCUUCCAAGCUCUUGUAGACAGAAGGGAUUUCAAAUGGUUUGGGUGUUGCUAUCUCCUCCAGACCUUCCUUCAAGGAUAGCUUCUGAGGCUUCUUAGAAGGCAGGGGUGAUUUGACAGAUCUCUGAACCCCCUCCCUAGGUUCACAAAGCUUAUUUAAGAAUCAGCGGCCAAAUCAGAGUCCAAAUUCCCAUCUGUCUCCUCAGGCGAUGGGCAGCAAAACAUUACAGAUGAUCCUUACGGAGGUCAAGCCUCGAUGGAAUCUGUUUGCUGUCACGUCCUGAGCUGCCCUUAUAGAUGCUGUGCCUCUUUGUGGGCACAAUGGAGAGCAUGUUGGAGCUCUAGUGAUGUGUGAUGACAUAAUUGCUCUCUGUUCUAUAGAUAGGAAGAAUUAAAUUUUGGGGUUUUGUAUACAAUGGUGGCCUGUUCCUGUGUGGUAUUCAAUGUUCUAUGUACCCUCUCUAAAUGCUCUUCAUCUUAUACAUCUCUAAUAUAUUUCCAGUCAAUCUUCUCUGCUCCAAAGAGAACAUCCCCAGCUUCUCCACCCUGACUUUGUAGCUGGAGACCCUUGCUGACAAAACCAUUACAGCAAACCGGUCCUCCCCUUUCUGUACAGUCUUCACAUUCCUCCUGAAUCGUGGUGACCUGAAACAACUCUUCAGUUGUUCACUUAACAGUGUUCUACAGAGAAUCAACAUAACUCUCUGUCUUUGAGUUAUCUUCCUCUAUUCCUGAAACCCAGUAUCAUUAAUAACUUUCCUCUCAACAAACCCUACCACAGUCAAAGAUGCGUGCAGUUUAUAUAGAUCCCCUGUCUGUGCAUACCCUUUGGAACGCUACCAGUAUAUCUGUAAUGCCAAUGAGGUUGCAAAAUACCGUUCAAUUCCUAAUCACACAACAAUCAAGUAACAUGUCUUGUUUUAUAUGUUCAUGGCCAUACUGGAAAAUGUCACUCAAGGACCUUUAAUAUUUCUGUUAUUAAGUUGCUCCUCCAAGUGGACCAGAGUCUUGUCAUUGGGUUUGGAGGCUUGCAUGCCUCUUAGAGCAGGAGAGAUAUGCUGGCUGGAGUCAGGACUUAUGCUUUGGCUCUUAGUAGAGUCACCCAUGCCGAACAGGUCAAAGGGUAGAGGCCAGACCAAGAGUGGUCCACCUGUCCUCCAGAUUCGGGGCUAAUAACCCUGACAGGUAAAACAAAACUGUUAUGGAAACAGCAAUGAAGAAUCCUUCUACAUCUGAGUGUGAUGGUAUUCCUGAGUCUCCACCCAGGAACUGCAUGACUGACGGUAGUGAAAACUGGGAAGAAGUUACUGACACGAUGAAGGAAGCCUUGAACACCGCCAGAGAUGGAUGACUUAAAUGCCAGCGGCAGAACGGACAGUGGAUUUGAUGAUUUGGUUCAUCUAUUUCGCAUCAGUGUACAGACAUGCGGAGAAGAAGCAACCGGAAAUGCGAAGCUACCAAGCUGACCAAUCACAGUUUUUGCAGUCUACGUCGCCGUGACGCCCCUUUGUAGGGACUUCUGGUCCAAUGCUCGGCAGCUCCCACACCAAAUGGAGAUGGACCUUCUCAGGAUGCUCUCAAUGGUGAGCGUGUUGACCCUGGAUUAAAAUGUUCCCUGUAUUGAAAGGAUCAAGAUACCAUUUCUUCAAAUUAAAACAACUGAUUACAGCAAGAACUCUAUUGCAAAGUGCAUAAUUCUAUAGGACAAGGAUUUAAUUUAAAAAUUGAUUGGGGCACUUGUUGACAAUGUUCAGGUAAGUGGCUAGUAUUUUCAAUGGCCACCAUAACUCUUAAUGUAGAUUAAUGCCAGGUAAACAGUGCACACUGUUAAAAACCCAAAAAGUGAUCCUGACCAAAGUAAGGAUUUCUUUGUUGGAAAUUAGUCCCUGGAACAUAAAACCUGGCAUUGGAAAACCAAGUGAAGCUAUGCCUCAAUGUGCUCUCCUUAAAAAACAAUACCAAGGAAAAACAAGCAAAGAGCACACCUCCAGGUUCAGGAACAAUUGUCACCCUUCAACCAUCAGGCUACUGAAUCAGCGAGGAUAGCUUUACUCACCUCAACACUCAACUGAUGACUGAAUGCAACCUAUGCUCACUUUCAAGGACUUUACAACUCAUGUCCUCAGUAUUAUUUAUUCACUUAUCGUUAUUUUUUUUUUUGUAUUUGCAGUUUGUCUUAUUUGCAAUUGGUGCCUCAGCUUUUGUGUGUAGUUUCUCAAUGGUUCUUUGUUCUACUGUGAAUGCCUGUGAGAAAAUGAAUCUCAGGAUAGUAUUUGGUGACAUUGAUAUUAAAUUCACUUUGAACUUUGCAGAGACGGUGCUUUUCAUUUCAGUCACUUACCCCUUUAUAUUGCUGAUACAAAUGGAAGUCAGGAAUUUUUUUUGCCAGAAAAUCGAUUCUAAUGAGUAGCUGGUGACAAAUGACCAAAUCCACAAAUCCAAAAGAGGUCAAGAGAGAAGUAUCUGGCCAUAACUUGUAAUAACAGUCAUCAUUGCUCAAUACCUACCACCACAGAGGAGGUGGCGGUGAAGCUGCCCUCUUCAGCUUUUGAACUUUUUGACUUUCGUCUAAUGUUCUUCAAGAACACAAAGCUGCAGAGCUGAUUUCCUACUGAACGCUCUCAGGUACUCAAUGUGUAAAAGCAUGCAGAGAGUGGUGCAGUUGUUGUUCAGACCAACAUUGGAAUGGGGAAAUAAUGUGAUUUAGGUGAGUUUGACCAUGGAAUGAUUGCUGGUGCCAGACAGGGUGCUUUGCAUAUCUCAAAAACAGUUGAUCUCCUGGGAUUUUCACGCACAACAGUCUCCAGAGUUUAUAAAGGAUGGUGCGAGAAAUUAAAAACAUCCAGUGAGCAGUAGUUCUGUGGGCGAAAAUGCCUUGUUAAUGAGAAAGGUCAGUGGAGAAUGCUGGACUGGUUCAAGCUGACAGAAAGGCGACAAAAACUCAGAUAACCACAUGUUACAACAGUGGUGUGCAGAAGAUCACCCCUGAAUGCACAUCACAUCAAACAUUCAAGUUGAUGAGCUACAGCAACAGAAGACCACACCAGGCUCCACAUCUCUGCUUAAUAAAGUAGCCACUGAGUCUAUAUAAUAGAGCAAAAAUAUUGAGGUAAUGUUCAUGGGUUAUGUAGCAUUCUGAAAUUUGAUGGCAGAGGGGAAGAUGCUGUUCCUAUCUUUUACUCUAUAAAUGAUUAAAAAUAUUGAAUACUAUAUAUUGACAUGAUUCAAAUGUAUGAUUGUACGUCUAUUAAAAAUUAAAAUUCAGUAUGAGCUUCUUUGUUUUUUUAAUGAUAUGAAUGAAAUAAAGCUGUCAAUCUUUGUUCAGGAACAUUAAGUUCCUGCAGUUUUUGUGGUUUCAGUAUGAUCUUUGGAAUAUAUUAAUUGAUUAAAAGUUUACA
Hypanus sabinus (Atlantic stingray) is the source of this 9869-nucleotide long non-coding RNA. RefSeq lists it as uncharacterized. The transcript is spliced from 6 exons. Lineage: Eukaryota; Metazoa; Chordata; Chondrichthyes; Myliobatiformes; Dasyatidae. The record is from RefSeq and is a predicted model, not a curated record.